ACGUGAUCUGAGUUCAGACCGGAGUAAUCCAGGUCAGUUUCUAUCUAUAAAAAGUCUUUCCUAGUACGAAAGGACCGGAAAGACAAGGCCCAUAUCUUAACAAGCCUUACCCACUAAUUUAUGUACCAAACUUAAUAAUUUAUUUACUACCACAAAACUCAAGAUAAGAAA
RNAcentral lists this ribosomal RNA (171 nucleotides) under Pithecopus rohdei (Rohde's leaf frog). Its description in RNAcentral is "partial 16S ribosomal RNA". Lineage: Eukaryota; Metazoa; Chordata; Amphibia; Anura; Hylidae. The record is from RNAcentral.